UCAUGCUGACACAUUUUGUUUUCUCUUUUCUUUCAGCUUUAACCACACUUGAGUAAGAACACUCUGACUUGGAAACACUCACAUUUCCCACGUGUGACUGAAUGGCCCUCGCCACGCUGGGAACGGAAUGGGGUGGAGGGGGAAGUUGUACCCCCAACUUCCACUGAUAAAUUUUUCUUUCAGCUUAUUGGUUUUCAUUGAUGAGAGAGUUGUGCAAGCCAAGGGCCCAGGCAUUGCCAGGAAAGAGGGGAGCCAUUCGGUGACCACUCAUGCCCGGUGCCAGCGGAAACCUGAGUGUGGUCCUUGCUGCCCUGGCCUCUGCUGAAGUUGGACCCACACUCAUCUAAACUCAUUGGGGCCGUUCUCUAGGCAGCCUCAAGUCUUGGGAGUGUUUUCCUUCCCACUCCUGUGCAGCACUGGCUUAUUAACCUACACACCACGUGACCCUUGACUUCUGUGGAGGGAUGAAUUGUGUCUUCCCAAAGAAGUCCUAGCCCCAGUACCUCAGAAUGUGAUGUAUUUGGA
This 525-nucleotide long non-coding RNA is filed under the name Aotus nancymaae (Ma's night monkey). Its description in RNAcentral is "lncRNA (ENSANAG00000038915.1)". The record is from RNAcentral. Lineage: Eukaryota; Metazoa; Chordata; Mammalia; Primates; Aotidae.